This 185-nucleotide non-coding RNA is filed under the name Betaproteobacteria bacterium SCN2. RNAcentral describes it as "6S / SsrS RNA". It matches the Rfam family "6S / SsrS RNA". Rfam says of the family: E. coli 6S RNA was the first non coding RNA to be sequenced, but its function was unknown until recently. It consists of 184 nucleotides that fold into an extended hairpin structure with a large single-stranded internal bulge. The 6S RNA specifically associates with RNA polymerase holoenzyme containing the sigma70 specificity factor. Lineage: Bacteria; Pseudomonadati; Pseudomonadota; Betaproteobacteria. The record is from Rfam by way of RNAcentral.
UGCCCCCUGCGGUGUUCGAGCUUGUCUGCAAUUUCUCUGAACCAAUGCAUACGUGCAAGGCCGCGGCCAACUCCGGUGUGGGCGUGCGCGCAACACGUCUUGCGUGCCCGAAGCAUCUCAGGCUGCAGCCAUCUUGAACCCAGGUUCAAGAGUCCGCCGACAAGCACGGCACAGGCGGGGAGCAC